UUGACAGCCUUAGAAUCUGAAAAGCCUCCAUUUAUCCACAGAAUAGGCAUUGCAAAGCUUCUUCACAUUACUUCAAACCAUUCUGUUUCAAUCCUGACCCAAAAAGGCCACUUCCAGGAGUGUGAAGGUAGGUCAGUCUCCAUGCCCAUUCAGUGUUUAUUUUAU
RNAcentral lists this small RNA (165 nucleotides) under Gopherus agassizii (Agassiz's desert tortoise). Its description in RNAcentral is "TUC338 (ENSGAGG00000015405.1)". Lineage: Eukaryota; Metazoa; Chordata; Testudines; Testudinidae. The record is from RNAcentral.